Non-coding RNA from Misgurnus anguillicaudatus (oriental weatherfish), 915 nucleotides. The record is from RefSeq and is a predicted model, not a curated record. Lineage: Eukaryota; Metazoa; Chordata; Actinopteri; Cypriniformes; Cobitidae.
UGGGAUUUGAUCAGCCUACGGACAGUGGCGAUAAGGCAGCGCUCGACCCGGCGAGGUGGUGUGUGACCUUCGCCCCCCUGCUGACCUACAGAAGGAACGACCGUGAGUAACAUAGUAAAAGCAAUUGUGGUAUAAGCUUACCUGUGUUUGUAUCAUCGCAGAGUCGGAGGCGAACGGGUCCGCUACCCCCGUGGUCUCUACGAAAGGGCGCCCCUAUCCGGAAUUCGAUCGGCCCACGGACCGUGGGGAUAGGGCGGCGCUCGACCCGGCGAGGUGGUGUGUGGCCUUCGCCCCCCUGCUGACCAACAGUAAAGAGCCGACUGUGAACGUGAUACUUACCCCGAGAGCUGUAAGCAGCGGAGCUGGUGAGAACCAUUCAAAGACCAAUAACAGUGUUUCUGUGUCCUAGCGAUCACCUGUGGAGAGAGAAAGGAAAACGAGAGAGAGUCAGUAAAGAGCCGACGGUGAACGUGAUACGUACCCAGAGAGCUGUAAGCAGCGGAGCUGGUGAGAACCAUUCAAAGGCCAAUAACAGUGUUUCUGUGUCCUAGCGAUCACCUGUGGAGAGAGAGAAGAAGACAAGAUGGCCGCCUGUGGAAAGAGAAGAAGGCGAGAGUAAGCCAUUGGGCACGAACAGUGGAGAAACCCCUAACAGCCACACCAGAAGUUGUCUGCCUCCAGGAAGAGAAGAAGGAGGGCGCCACGGCCAGCAGGGUCCAGGCGGGAGCCUGACGUUUCCUUUUUCCCCCGUUGAUGGUGGUUGGCACCCCCGUUUUCCCAUCCCUGUCACCCGUGGCUGUAGUCUCCCUGGAGGGAGUAGAAGAAGCCAUUAGUUUUAAAAUUCCCCUUUCCCCGAAAUUUCCCCCCCAUCCUUUUAAGUAUUUAAGAUUUCAAUAAAGCUUGUUUUAAAUUUUA